This 895-nucleotide long non-coding RNA is filed under the name Rattus norvegicus (Norway rat). Its description in RNAcentral is "long non-coding RNA NONRATT031183". The record is from RNAcentral. Lineage: Eukaryota; Metazoa; Chordata; Mammalia; Rodentia; Muridae.
CCAGCAUCAUCACUUCCAAAAUGGCAUCGGGCAUCCCCUUCCGCCAUACAACCAUUAUUCCUGACACUGAGCCGCACAACCAGUCACUGGGCCUCACUGCAGACCUCUUCCCGGGAGACCCUACACCUUCUUGGUCUAGCUAUCUCUUUUACUGUACCAUUUUAUGAUGAUAGUUUCCGUUGCCAUGGUGAAGCUUCUACAUUGUUAGUUAAGACCAUCAUGGUAACGGGUAGGACAAUGGCAUUUGUUAAGAAGAUCCUGUUUUAUUAUUUUAGAUCACAUAUUCUUUUUUGCAGCACAUACAGCUUUUGGGGUUUUCUUUCCUUACAAUAUUAGGUAUAUAUAUAUUUUUUUUUUGCUUUACUAUCUCAGACAGGUUUCUGUCUUUCUUUGUUCCUUUUUUUCUUCCUCCUUCCUUCUUUUGACUGUGGAUGGAAGAAAGUAUGCAGUUUUUGAGGAUUUAAUAGGUUUGUCUUUAGUAUUCUUCGGUAAGAUAGUCAUUUUUUGAUAGCUGAGUCGGGGAUUAAUUCAUAACAAAUUCAGGUAUUUGUAUAUUACUCUUGAAUUUGCCUAAAAUUCUAUUUGCUAUGACAGCUUAGUAUUUGGGUCAAGUACACAUUUUUCCCAUGGUUAAAAUAAGUGAGCUUUAGACUAAGUAGUGACCAUUCAGAGGUCUAUGAUAGGACUUGUCACAGAGAGCAAGAAACUGUUUAUGCCUUCUGUGCUGGGUAUUGUAGAAGAGACUGCGUCAUGUCAUAGAACCAAUUUACAACCUAAAACACUGUUUUAGAAAAGCAGAAGCUACCUUUCAAAUGGGCUGCAGAAAUCAUUUUGAAAGGCAGCGUAUAUUGGGAAGAGAUCAGAUGCAGAAUUUAGUGCCUUUGAGAAGACUAUA